This 292-nucleotide ribosomal RNA is filed under the name uncultured bacterium. RNAcentral describes it as "partial 16S ribosomal RNA". It matches the Rfam family "Bacterial small subunit ribosomal RNA", at positions 505 to 796 of the family's 1533-position model. The record is from RNAcentral.
GUGCCAGCAGCCGCGGUAAAACGUAGGACGCGAGCGUUAUCCGGAGUUACUGGGCGUAAAGGGCGGGUAGGCGGGCUGCUAAGAUGGGUGUGAAAUCUCCCGGCUCAACCGGGCGGGGCCACUCGUGACUGGCAGUCUGGAGGGUGACAGAGGCGCGUGGAAUUCCGGGUGGAGUGGUGAAAUGCGUAGAGAUCCGGAGGAACACCAGAGGCGAAAGCGGCGCGCUGGGUCACGACUGACGCUGAACCGCGAAAGCCAGGGGAGCGAACGGGAUUAGAAACCCCUGUAGUCC